UUGGCGAGAGCAUGGGUGGGGCUGAGGGGAUGGAGGGGCCAGCAGGGAGCACAGAGGGCUCUGGGACUGCAGCUCUGACAGGCCUUGGAACCAAUUCCAGAGCCUCCACUUUUGCCACAGCUGCAAAGAAAACCUUGAGAACAGCCGGAGACUGCCAGGAGCCAGCAGGGAGAAGCUGAGUGCCAGCAGCAGGAGCAGUGAGCAGGGCCCUGCUGCUGCCAGCCUGGAGAGAGCCCGGAUGUCCCAUCUGCUGUCCCUGUCCAGGAGAUGUGCCGAACUUCAUCUGCAGGAUCAGAAGAACCAGUGUCCUUUGGCCUCCCCCAGUUCCCACUGAGGACGAGAGCACCUGCAGAGCAGAGGAGACCAGCUGCAGCUCCAGGCCCAGGUCUUGCUGGUCACAGCUGAGCCUGUGUGAAAAGGUUUCUUAAGUUAUAGGUUAAAAUUCAACACAUAAUUCUACAAGCUAAAAUUUAAAUGCUGAAUUCAUAUUGCUAACUCAAGGGAGCUCCAAAAAUCUCUAUUUCAAAAGCAACAAACCUUUGAAAGGUUAAACCUCAACAGAGCUGUGAUCCUCCAUCAAUACCUCCUUCUUCCACUUGCUUAAAAUCUCUUUGUCCUGGGCACUCACUAAGGCCUUUUUCCUGGAAGCUCUCUGGCUGUCUUGAAUGCUUAUGGAGUAACAGGUAAUCCCUGAUCUAUUUUCAACUCUCUGCCCAGAGACUUCUGGAAGGGAGGUAGGACUGGUACUGGGGACCUGGCAGCUUGUCCAGGAAUCAAAAUUAUUGAAAUAAUGGUAAUGUGGACAAGGCAUGCAAGUCCAGGUGGUGAGCUCAAAUAUGCAAGUACUUGCAGUUUCCCCUCAGCACUUGACAGCUAAGGGGUAUGGUCUCUUCUUAUUUCUGUCUCUUAAUCUUCAAUCCUUGCCACACUCCUUCAACAUCUUUUGCAUUGUCAUCUUCCCUGUUUUCUCCCUCCCUUCUUCUUUCUGUGACUUUCUGUACACAACAGACUAUCUGUCACACUCUGUCAGCUUGCUCAGUCACCCGAGCAGUGAUAAUGAUGGUGUAGAAAUUGUAGGUGCACAGGAGGCAAAGGUGUCAUGCUUCUGUGUGCCCUCUGCAGGCAAAGCUGCUUCCCGAAGCUUCAGUCAAACUUGGAACAAAGGCUUGUCCCCACUGCAGGGACAAGAGAGGUAGGAAACUGGGCUCAUAAAACAUGCUUCUUCUGCUUCAACAAAAAACCGUGACUUCCCUUCACAGAGAAGGAUGUAAACUUUUUCUUGAAGGGAAUAAACAAAUCUCUUUAUGUCCUGAUCUUUUACCAGUCUGAAAUUAUUUAAAAAUGUCGUAAAUUUUGUUUGUUUGUUUGUUUCUUUGUGGUGUUUUUUUUUUUUGUUUGUUUUGGGGGUUUUUUGGGUUUGUUUUUUUUUUUGUUUGUUUGUUUGUUUGUUUUGUUUUGUCUUGUUUUGGUUUUUUUGGGGGUUUUUUUGGUUGUUUUUGGUUUUUUGGGUUUGUUUUUUUUUGUUGUUGUUGUUCUGGGGUUGGGUCUGCAUUUCAAGCCUGUUCUCCCAGCAGUCAGGGACCUGCACAGCUGCUGUGGGUGGGGCAGGUGCUCAGGUAAUUACCAACAGGUAAUUACUAACAGCCAGGUGAGAAGUUGGCUUGUGCCUGGUUGAGGGCUUGAGGACUGUGCUGAGAGAAGGGCUAGGGAGUGGAGUGGAAAAUACAAUUUACACAAGCAGGUAUAGGUGGAUGUCUGGGGUGUAGGUGGGAGUUAACUGGUUUAGGUACUGCAUUUAUGAAGAAUUGAACAUUUAACUCUGAGAUAGGACUAUUUAGUUGCUACUCUAAGUGCUGCAUUUACUAACACGUAAUGUAAUUUCUGCUGCUGUGGCAGAACCUGCUGUCCCCUGCGCUCGGAACAGGCGUGGAGGGUCCCCAAGGCAUCCUCAGAAUGGGCUUUGCCCUCACCUUGGCUUGUGCUGCUGCAGAUUUUGGAGACAAUUGUGCAUAAGAACGGGCACUAGAACCAGACUUGGGGCUGGCAUGCUCUGCAUUUCCAGAAUGGCUCAUGGACAGGGUAAGGUGGUAUCGGUGCACUCUGGGUGAAGCUGUGAUUCUAUGGAUACUUCAGUAAGAGAGGUUUUUUCAGGGUGAUUAAACUUUCGUCCUUGCUGUGCUUUCUAUGACAUUUGCAUCUCUAUUUUGUAAAACUUCAGAAAUCUGAAUCCUCUUUGGCCCUGUGAAAUGUUAAAAACGUCAGCAAAAGCCAUCAUAGUUUGCAUGCGAAAAUACAUAAUUUUUUACA
This is a long non-coding RNA of Passer domesticus (house sparrow), 2307 nucleotides long. RefSeq lists it as uncharacterized. Lineage: Eukaryota; Metazoa; Chordata; Aves; Passeriformes; Passeridae. The record is from RefSeq and is a predicted model, not a curated record. The transcript has 2 exons.